Molecule: ribosomal RNA, 403 nt
Filed under: uncultured bacterium
Lineage: Bacteria
Description: bacterial SSU rRNA
Rfam family: Bacterial small subunit ribosomal RNA
Source: RNAcentral
GGGGAAUAUUGCACAAUGGGCGAAAGCCUGACGGAGCAACGCCGCGUGGAUGAUGAAGUCUUUCGGGACGUAAAAUCCCUUCAGUAGGGACGAAUACAAUGACGGUACCUACAGAAGAAGCAUCGGCUAACUACGUGCCAGCAGCCGCGGUAAUACGUAGGAUGCAAGCGUUGUCCGGAAUCAUUGGGCGUAAAGCGAACGUAGGCGGUUUCUUAAGUCUGUGCUUAAAGACCAGGGCUCAACCCCGGGAGUGGCAUGGAUACUGGGAGACUGGAGGAUGUCAGAGGAAAGUGGAAUUCCUAGUGUAGCGGUGAAAUGCGUAGAUAUUAGGAGGAACACCAGUGGCGAAAGCGACUUUCUGGGACAUUCCUGACGCUGAGGUUCGAAAGCUCGGGGAGCAAAC